AGUGCUGUAGCUCAAUGGUAGAGCAUCUGCUUUGCAUGCAAAAGGUCCCAGGUUCAAUUCCCAGCAUCUCUA
RNAcentral lists this transfer RNA (72 nucleotides) under Podarcis lilfordi (Lilford's wall lizard). It matches the Rfam family "tRNA". Rfam says of the family: Transfer RNA (tRNA) molecules are approximately 80 nucleotides in length. Their secondary structure includes four short double-helical elements and three loops (D, anti-codon, and T loops). Lineage: Eukaryota; Metazoa; Chordata; Lepidosauria; Squamata; Lacertidae. The record is from Rfam by way of RNAcentral.